Molecule: ribosomal RNA, 484 nt
Filed under: uncultured bacterium
Lineage: Bacteria
Description: partial 16S ribosomal RNA
Rfam family: Bacterial small subunit ribosomal RNA
Source: RNAcentral
AUUGAACGCUGGCGGCAUGCUUUACACAUGCAAGUCGAACGGCAGCGCGGGCUUCGGCCUGGCGGCGAGUGGCGAACGGGUGAGUAAUGCAUCGGAACGUGCCCAGUAGUGGGGGAUAGCCCGGCGAAAGCCGGAUUAAUACCGCAUACGACCUGAGGGUGAAAGCGGGGGACCGAAAGGCCUCGCGCUAUUGGAGCGGCCGAUGUCGGAUUAGCUAGUUGGUGGGGUAAAGGCUUACCAAGGCGACGAUCCGUAGCUGGUCUGAGAGGACGACCAGCCACACUGGGACUGAGACACGGCCCAGACUCCUACGGGAGGCAGCAGUGGGGAAUUUUGGACAAUGGGGGCAACCCUGAUCCAGCCAUGCCGCGUGCGCGAAGAAGGCCUUCGGGUUGUAAACCGCUUUUGUUCGGGAAGAAAUCCUCUGGGCUAAUACCCCGGGGGGAUGACGGUACCGGAAGAAUAAGCACCGGCUAACUACGUG